AGAAGUCCAAAUUGAAAUCCAAUUUCUAUUAAGCACAAGCCAUUUCAAUUUCUAUUAAGCACAAGCCUAUCAAAAUACCGGGUAUUACAGUUGCUAAACAACCUAAUUGAGAAGAAAAGAAAUAUGCAGUACUGUAAUUAUAUCUGGAAAAAAAGAGGGGGUGGCGGUGAGGGGAAUUACCCCUAUUUUCAAGGCUAGGUACCGUUAAACUAGGUCUGACUUAACAAUAAUCAGAACCUGUUCAGUACUACAAAAUACCUAUUCAGUAGCAAGAAUCAUAGCCAUAGGGCUCUUGACAACAACACAUGUAAUGUACGUGUCUGCUCUGCUUUCUUUUCUUUUCUUUUUUUUUUUUUAAUUUUUUCUUUCUUGUAGCUUAUUCUCAUUAAUUGCUUCAAUUCCUUUGUGUGCAUAUUCCUGCUAUCUGAUUUAUUUGUUCACAGUUUACUAGUAAUUGUUAUUUGUCAUUUAACAAAAUUCAGACUUUAAUGGAUGUCUUAAAAAUAAUUUGUACUAAAGCAUAUUAGGGAAAGUGCAACGUUUUGUUUGAGUUUAUCUUUAACACUGAGAAUUUUGAAAUUUUUGGAAAUAUAUCCAUUAACAUUUAAACUCUGUUGCCAACCAAAAAAAAAACAUUUAAACUCUGUUAAUAAAUAUGAAAAUAUAAAUCAACCCAAUUGUGAGUGAAAAGAUGGAAGCAUUACAAUGAAUUAUCGAAGAUUAAAUCAGAAUGCAAUUUGGAAAUUGAAGUAGAUUAUGUGAAGUUUUAUGUUUGUUUAAUAUGUGACUAUGUAGUUUAAACUCGGGGUUCUCCAGUGUGCUUUGGAAGGAAAAUGAUCCUCCUUCCAUCUUUUCACUCACAAUUGGGUCCAUUCCAGAUUCAUAUUUAUUAACAAAGUUCAGAUUUUAAUGGAUAUAUAUGUUUUGUUUGAAUUUAUACAUACAACUAAAAAUGAUCCUCCAUUCCAUAUUUGCGCUAUUUUCUCCAACUCUCAUACCCCAUGUUUGCAUCAAACAACAGUCUGCUAUUGACUACUUGUACAAUGAUCGUCUUCCCAAAUUUCUAUUUUGAUUUGAUUUGUAUUUUCAAGGACAUUUGUGGUCAUGUUACAUGAUGUUUUACAACUUGCGACUGUCAUUAACUAGGCCCAAAUUAUUCUUUCAUGCAGGGGAGCUUUCUUUGUCGGCCAUAAAUGUACAUAAUGAAAUUAUUUGUGAUUAUUGCAAGGUAACAUCCAUCUUGUAACUUUCUUUUCCCUACAUGAGUAAAGUCUACUCACUUCAAUCCACACAAGAUAAAGCACCCAAUGGAUCCUUCUAUUCGUUAUAUAUUUUCUGCCAAUGGAUCUUGUGUUCUUGUUCUACUGGUUUAAAGUUAUUGAAUGAUAAAAUUGGUUUUGAAAAUCUAAACUAGCUCUUUUUGGUAACUGUUCAUUUUAUAUUGUUGACUCAAAGGGAGAUGGCAUUGGGAUUCCAAUAUUUCAACAUUAAGCAAAUAUGAGUUUGUAAAGUUUCCAGCCAUGCAGUACUAUCAUGUUGCUUGUAUGUAUCUUUUAGUCAUGUUCUCAAGUCUUACCACCUAAAUGGCUAUCUCGACAGAUGAGUCCAAUGGUCGGUAUAAUUGCAAACACUGUCAUGAAGAAAAUGUCAUCACUGAGGGAGGUGUGAGUUUUGAUUUGUGUGAAGAGUAUUAUCAUACUUGCUUUAAGCAUUGAGAUCUUGCCAAUUAGCAUCACACACAAGGGCAUGCAUUUGAACUUGUUACAUCCUGUGGAGCCAGUCCAGUUCCUAUAUAUCCUGAUGAUACUUCAGAGGAUGCAGAAGAUGGUCUUGUGGCUGUGAGUUCCCAGUCAGAUGGAGAAGAUGAAGAAGAAUUGAAUUUCAAUGUAUUCUUCU
This 1896-nucleotide long non-coding RNA is filed under the name Aquilegia coerulea. RNAcentral's name for it is "long non-coding RNA (ACOE_LNC002252)". The record is from RNAcentral. Lineage: Eukaryota; Viridiplantae; Streptophyta; Magnoliopsida; Ranunculales; Ranunculaceae.